CAAGAAGAGCCUUGGCUUUAAUACAACUCAACACAGAGGCAUUACGGCACACCUGAACCCUUUUCCUGAAAACAUGAGCACGGAAAGGCAGGAAAACAUUAUUUUAGGUCUGAAAUCUCCCUAUGAGAACAUGUCACCUGCAGAGCACAGGUACUUCUUUGGGCCUUCAGAUAAACUGCGCUCAGUUAAUAAACACUUAAGAAAAAGUAAAUCCAAGGAAGAAACUCUAGACUUUAAAGAUAUCCCCAUGGAAAAUUAAAGUAAAAAAAAAGAAAAGCCUUCUACACUCUCAACAGAGACAUCCACUGAGGACAAAGACAACAGUCUAAUGAUGAGGAUCAACACAGUUUAUAUACGUUCUGAGUUAUAUCACAAAUGAAUUAGCAAUACUUGUAAAUAAACAGUGUAUGGUGUAAAGCUGUACAGUAAUACCUCAGUACUCGUCGGCUGCGGCCCCAAAGUGGUUAAAAGUGCUACAACCUACUCGUCAGUUUCAGCACCGUCACGGAACGAAUUACCGACGAGUACUGAGGUAUUACUGAAUUGGCUUUCAAAUAAAAAUGCCUAUAUUGUUAUAUUAUUUACAAUACUUAAAUGAAAUUGUGUUUGUACUGAAAUACAUUGUAUUUCAUUUGUAUUUCACAAGUUUAUUUGUUUUAAAGGUUUGUUAUUGACACCUAAAUUGAUAUUGCUGAUGAGUGGUUUGCAUAUUGAUAUUCAGAAUUUUACUACAUGUAUUAUAUCUACCUGUCUGCAUUCUGUAUAUAAAAUUAAUUGAAUUACUGCUCAAUCAAAGCACACAUUUAACAAUAAAAAACUUAGUUCCACCACGAGAUGGCAGCAUUGACACGCUGUAGAGUCCACCAUGUAUUCAAAAGUAAUUAAAUCUGUUCUGGUUCCUGAAUCAGGUAAGCAUGUGACACUGUGUUGCCUAAGGCUUACCUGUAUACUGAAUAAUGUCUGGCUCUUUUAAAGGGUACAUUAAAAUGCACUUUCAUUACCAACACUGUGAUGUGAUCGUUAUUGUAAACAACCAAUAGUGAGAGUGGUGUUGCUUUUCACGCUCUUUCAAAUCUAACUGGCAGAACAAUUUAUCUGUAAAUAAGCUGAUGAAUACAAUUAAACACAUUAAAGCAAAGGAAA
Silurus meridionalis is the source of this 1143-nucleotide long non-coding RNA. RefSeq lists it as uncharacterized. The record is from RefSeq and is a predicted model, not a curated record. NCBI's taxonomy places the organism in Eukaryota, Metazoa, Chordata, Actinopteri, Siluriformes, Siluridae. The transcript is spliced from 4 exons.